This 253-nucleotide ribosomal RNA is filed under the name uncultured bacterium. RNAcentral describes it as "partial 16S ribosomal RNA". It matches the Rfam family "Bacterial small subunit ribosomal RNA", at positions 524 to 776 of the family's 1533-position model. The record is from RNAcentral.
UACGUAGGGCGCAAGCGUUAUCCGGAAUUAUUGGGCGUAAAGAGCUUGUAGGCGGUUUGUCGCGUCUGCCGUGAAAUUUCGAGGCUCAACCCCGGACUUGCAGUGGGUACGGGCAGACUAGAGUGUGGUAGGGGAGACUGGAAUUCCUGGUGUAGCGGUGAAAUGCGCAGAUAUCAGGAGGAACACCGAUGGCGAAGGCAGGUCUCUGGGCCACUACUGACGCUGAGAAGCGAAAGCAUGGGGAGCGAACAGG